CAGACAAACAGAGGCGGCCCUGGUGGGGAAGAGAAGACAGGGAGGCUGUUCUGUUAAGCUCUGGCUUCCUCAGCUUCUAGCUCGUUGGAGAAGCGGGAGCGACGGAGCCCGGAGUGUUUCACCAUUUAGCAGAUGCCUUUAUCCAAAGUGUUGUACAUUUUUGAGAAAGCAGGGUUAGAUAAUCCCUGGCUUAAGGGCCUUACUCAGGGACCCAAGGAUUAAAUCACCUAGGGAUCUGAACCGGCGACCUUCUGAUUAGAGGAACGCAGCACGCUGCCAUGGGGGAGAACGGAGCAAUCGGAGACAAUGCAUCUCGCGCCAUCAUGGAUGGAAUUAUCCCAGCCGUUCCUGGGGAAAUAACACCGCCAGCGGUCGGGAAAUCCCCAGGAUUCACGCGGAGCCAGCUGAUUAAGGAUGAACUCAGAGAUCGGCGGCAUGCGCCCCCACCCCCCACCCAGCAGCGGAACCGAACACUCCUGCAUCACCGUGCUGCAUGAACCUCGCAUCCCAGCUCGUCUCUGCUCCGCAGGAUAGCAUUUCUGCGCAUUUUCUCGUUAUGAACAUAAACCUGCUUCCCAUUUUGCAUAUCAAAGGCUUAAUGAGACCGGAAUCUCUGACGGUUCCACCUGGAUAUAUACAGAAAAUCACAUUUCGCAGAAACAGUCCUGUAACGUGACGUCAGCGAUGUCCAGGAGACAGAUGCCUUUGCCAUUCUGUUAUAUAAUAAUUCUUCCAAGGAGAGGAAUUGGCUUAGAAUAGUGCUUCAUCCACACCAGGGACCGGACCUGGCAUCACACGCUGAAUCACGCUGUCAGUCAAAACCUGCAGGUCUUCAUCUGCCAGGAAGUCUGAUUCAGUUAUAUAUACCAUCCCCCCCCUAAGAAAGGCUAAGUGCAGAUGCCAGAGGUCGGGGUGUUUCUGUUAUUUAAGGGUGUGAAGGUCUGUCGGUUAUUUGUUACGGUUCAUAUCACGAAAAGUUUCAGAGGAAGAAAGAUAUAUACGCACAUAAACGAAUUGCAGCCGUAUCGAUGACCCCGCAUCCGGACUGACGUCACUCCCUGGAUUACAUGCGAGCCGCAAUCAGUUGCGACAGCUGCAGGGGCGAGCCCACACAACGUACCGGCCCCCGCCGUUCAGAUAUGGGGGGCUUUAGUCACUCGCCAAAAGCCAGCCGUGUGACACGACGCCACUCACGCCUCUCAGCGACGAGAACACAAGGGCGCCGAACCACCUGUCCGAUUCCGGCCUGGAGCGCUUCCAGACAAACAUGCCGCGCCGCGUGGAUUUCUGCCCGCUUGCCGUAUAAUUCCAUCUGCAGACAUAUCAUCGGAAUUACGAUUAAGAUUAAAGGGGAUGAUCCCAUACAGCAGCGAGAAUACAGAGCACAGUCAAACGUGCGCAGACCGCCCAACAGACGAAGUGCAAAGGCCGUGCACAUACUGCAAUCUAGCAAAUGUGGUGCAAGCAAAUUGAAAUGCUACGCAGAACUCAAAUAGUGUCCUGAAAAACAGAAUAUUGAAUAAUAAGUUAGCAGGGAUGGUACAUGUGCAACUACAGAUUCGGUGCCAGAAAUGGUCCAAUCGAAGACAGCGUGCAGAAGGUCCACGAAUCACGAGGAGGCUGUAGCGAGUGUUUAUGGCCGGUUUCAGUGGAAAUGCUCGAUAGAAUCACGGUUCGGUUUCAUGUGUGCGAGAUGACAACGAACUGACUUGACGUGACAUGAGAUGGACUAGCCUUACAGCUUCACCAUUCCAUCAGAGUCAUAGAUGUCAGCCAUGACCGGAAGCGAGCAAGUUACGCAUCGACCCACCUUACUGCUGUCGGCUGAAGAUCUCACAUGGGAGCAUCAAAUAGCAGCAAGACUGACCCCCCUCAGAUGGGUGGUCAAUGGAUCUAUCUGACCAGACAUCUCAAGGCCCAUCCCUCCUGGAAAACUAUACUACCUCAUCCUCCCACCAACCUGGGCUCUGUCUUCGAUGACUAUUCCGGAGUUAUGGUCUCUUGGCAACAAUGAAUGCUCUUCUCUUGUAUUUUCCACUUGUCAAGUAGGAACUGAUUCCUCAUGGGGUUUUGAUUUGACUGGCUUUUCUGAUGUGGGGUUCUAACAAUGUUUUUUAUAGCUCUUGCCCCAGUGCUAACUUGCACGUGAUACUGAUCACUCAUUGGCUGCUCAGCCUAGCAAGAGUUGCUCCUGCGUUGGCUCCUUGACAACUGUAUGCUUGUGAUGUUCUGGAUCUGCCUCGCUUGUAUGUCGCUUUGCACAAAAGUGUCUGUUAAAUAAAUAUAUGUAAAUGAAAGUCAA
Long non-coding RNA from Brienomyrus brachyistius, 2302 nucleotides. RefSeq lists it as uncharacterized. NCBI's taxonomy places the organism in Eukaryota, Metazoa, Chordata, Actinopteri, Osteoglossiformes, Mormyridae. The transcript is spliced from 4 exons. The record is from RefSeq and is a predicted model, not a curated record.